UCCGGUUUGGCACACGGGCUUUCACCCGCUUUACCGUACAUGUCAAGCCCAGGUAAGGUUCUUCGCGUUGCAUCGAAUUGAGCCACACGCUCCGCCGCUUGUGCGGGCCCCCGUCAAUUCCUUUGAGUUUUAGCCUUGCGGCCGUACUCCCCAGGCGGGGCACUUAAUGCGUUAGCUACGGCACGGAACCCGUCGAUAGAGUCCCACACCUAGUGCCCAACGUUUACGGCGUGGACUAC
Molecule: unclassified non-coding RNA, 239 nt
Filed under: uncultured Acidimicrobiia bacterium
Lineage: Bacteria; Bacillati; Actinomycetota; Acidimicrobiia
Description: contains 16S-23S intergenic spacer region
Source: RNAcentral